This 482-nucleotide ribosomal RNA is filed under the name uncultured bacterium. RNAcentral describes it as "partial 16S ribosomal RNA". It matches the Rfam family "Bacterial small subunit ribosomal RNA", at positions 30 to 507 of the family's 1533-position model. The record is from RNAcentral.
AUUGAACGCUGGCGGCAUGCUUUACACAUGCAAGUCGAACGGUAACAGGCCGCAAGGUGCUGACGAGUGGCGAACGGGUGAGUAACGCAUCGGAACGUGCCCAGUCGUGGGGGAUAACUACUCGAAAGAGUAGCUAAUACCGCAUACGAUCUAUGGAUGAAAGCGGGGGACCGUAAGGCCUCGCGCGAUUGGAGCGGCCGAUGUCAGAUUAGGUAGUUGGUGGGGUAAAGGCUCACCAAGCCAACGAUCUGUAGCUGGUCUGAGAGGACGACCAGCCACACUGGGACUGAGACACGGCCCAGACUCCUACGGGAGGCAGCAGUGGGGAAUUUUGGACAAUGGGCGCAAGCCUGAUCCAGCAAUGCCGCGUGCAGGAAGAAGGCCUUCGGGUUGUAAACUGCUUUUGUACGGAACGAAACGGCUCUGGUUAAUACCCGGGGCUAAUGACGGUACCGUAAGAAUAAGCACCGGCUAACUACGUG